RNAcentral lists this ribosomal RNA (497 nucleotides) under uncultured bacterium. Its description in RNAcentral is "partial 16S ribosomal RNA". It matches the Rfam family "Bacterial small subunit ribosomal RNA", at positions 28 to 507 of the family's 1533-position model. The record is from RNAcentral.
GACGAACGCUGGCGGCGUGCCUAAUACAUGCAAGUUGAGCGAUGAAGAUUGGUGCUUGCACCAAUUUGAAGAGCAGCGAACGGGUGAGUAACGCGUGGGGAAUCUGCCUUUGAGCGGGGGACAACAUUUGGAAACGAAUGCUAAUACCGCAUAACAACUUUAAACAUAAGUUUUAAGUUUGAAAGAUGCAAUUGCAUCACUCAAAGAUGAUCCCGCGUUGUAUUAGCUAGUUGGUGAGGUAAAGGCUCACCAAGGCGAUGAUACAUAGCCGACCUGAGAGGGUGAUCGGCCACAUUGGGACUGAGACACGGCCCAAACUCCUACGGGAGGCAGCAGUAGGGAAUCUUCGGCAAUGGACGAAAGUCUGGCCGAGCAACGCCGCGUGAGUGAAGAGGGUUUUCGGAUCGUAAAACUCUGUUGGUAGAGAAGAACGUUGGUGAGAGUGGAAAGCUCAUCAAGUGACGGUAACUACCCAGAAAGGGACGGCUAACUACGUG